UUUAUUUACUUAGGUAUUAAAAUUACUAAAAAACAUAAAGAUUUAUUUAAGGUUAAUUUUUUACCUUUAAUUGAUCAAAUUAAGCAACUUGCUAUUAGGUGGUCUCCACUAUCUUUGCCAUUGGUUGGUAGAGUUAAUGCUAUUAAGAUGAUGAUACUACCUAAAUUUUUAUAUUUAUUUCAAGCAUUACCAAUUUUUAUUCCUAAAUCUUUCUUUGAUACUAUUGACUCCAAAAUAUCUUCUUACUUGUGGCAGAACAAAAAUCCUAGAUUGGGCAAAAAAUAUUUACAGAAGCCUAAGAAGGAGGGCGGCUUGGCUCUACCAAACUUAAGAUUUUACUAUUGGGCAGUUAACAUACGGUAUUUAAUAUUCUGGACACAAGAAUUGAUUAUAGCUGCUUGUCCACAAUGGGUAAAUUUGGAAUGUAAAUCUGUGCAAGAUUUUUCACUGAUUUCAAUUUUAGGAUCUUCACAUCCUUUUUCUUUAUUCAAAUUGAAUAAACAGAUAACUAAUCCCAUAGUCAGAUAUACAUUACGAAUUUGGUUUCAAUUUCGUAAAUUUUUUGGUUUGAAUAAAUUUAUUUUAUCAUGUCCUAUAAUAUCUAACUAUUUUUUUUCAGCCUUCAUCUAUGGAUCAAGUUUUUCUUUUAUGGAAAACAAAAGGUGUCAACUUGAAUUCUCAAUGGCACGUUUUCCACCAUCACCCUUGACAACCACCCCCAACACAGAUGCUGCUCCACCUGAUGAAUUCAUCAGCAGAUGAUGCACAAUAGUAUACGUUCUCUGUUGAACCCGAUAAGUUUCAAGUGACUGUGGGAAACAGGAACAGAUCUGUUGCAAGGGAAUGUGGAAAUGGGGCUCCAGUGUGUCUAAAGGAAGGAUAGGACGUUAUUAUGUGAAAAGAAGCACAACAAUUAACAGCCAGUGAGACUGAUGCUGAAACACCUGGAUUUCUGAAUUGCUGGAUAAUCAGUUUUACUGUGUUGCUUGAUAACCUCUAAAUGAAAUUGUUCAUGAUGUUUGUA
Molecule: long non-coding RNA, 1024 nt
Organism: Hypanus sabinus (Atlantic stingray)
Lineage: Eukaryota; Metazoa; Chordata; Chondrichthyes; Myliobatiformes; Dasyatidae
Exons: 3
Source: RefSeq, a predicted model, not a curated record